GCUUGGGUGGCGCAGCUAACGCAUUAAGUCAUCCGCCUGGGGAGUACGGCCGCAAGGUUAAAACUCAAAUGAAUUGACGGGGGCCUGCACAAGCGGUGGAGCAUGUGGUUUAAUUCGAAGCAACGCGCAGAACCUUACCAGCGUUUGACAUGUCCGGACGAUUCCCAGAGAUGGGUCUCUUCCCUUCGGGGACUGGAACACAGGUGCUGCAAGGCUGUCGUCAGCUCGUGUCGUGAGAUGUUGGGUUAAGUCCCGCAACGAGCGCAACCCUCGCCUUUAGUUGCCAUCAUUCAGUUGGGCACUCUAAAGGAACCGCCGGUGAUAAGCCGGAGGAAGGUGGGGAUGACGUCAAGUCCUCAUGGCCCUUACGCGCUGGGCUACACACGUGCUACAAUGGCGGUGACAGUGGGCAGCAAUCCCGCAAGGGUGAGCUAAUCUCCAAAAGCCGUCUCAGUUCGGAUUGCACUCUGCAACUCGAGUGCAUGAAGGCGGAAUCGCUAGUAAUCGCGGAUCAGCAUGCCGCGGUGAAUACGUUCCCAGGCCUUGUACACACCGCCCGUCACACCAUGGGAGUUGGAUUCACCCGAAGGCGUUGCGCUAACCAGCAAUGGAGGCAGGCGACCACGGUGGGUUUAGCG
Molecule: ribosomal RNA, 638 nt
Filed under: uncultured bacterium
Lineage: Bacteria
Description: bacterial SSU rRNA
Rfam family: Bacterial small subunit ribosomal RNA
Source: RNAcentral